RNAcentral lists this ribosomal RNA (409 nucleotides) under Salmonella enterica. RNAcentral describes it as "partial 23S ribosomal RNA". It matches the Rfam family "Bacterial large subunit ribosomal RNA", at positions 470 to 780 of the family's 2925-position model. Lineage: Bacteria; Pseudomonadati; Pseudomonadota; Gammaproteobacteria; Enterobacterales; Enterobacteriaceae. The record is from RNAcentral. RNAcentral also lists the same sequence under 1 other name.
AUACUCCUGACUGACCGAUAGUGAACCAGUACCGUGAGGGAAAGGCGAAAAGAACCCCGGCGAGGGGAGUGAAAAAGAACCUGAAACCGUGUACGUACAAGCAGUGGGAGCCCCACCACUAAGCCAGUGGUGAACUCCACAUACGCAUCCUUUGCUGAGGAUACGGUUAACGGAGCGCAAGCGACGUUCAACCGCAAAAGAAGCAGAGGGGGCUUAGUGGUGGGGUGACUGCGUACCUUUUGUAUAAUGGGUCAGCGACUUAUAUUCUGUAGCAAGGUUAACCGUAUAGGGGAGCCGGAGGGAAACCGAGUCUUAAUUGGGCGUUAAGUUGCAGGGUAUAGACCCGAAACCCGGUGAUCUAGCCAUGGGCAGGUUGAAGGUUGGGUAACACUAACUGGAGGACCGAACC